Molecule: small nuclear RNA, 87 nt
Filed under: Echinops telfairi (small Madagascar hedgehog)
Lineage: Eukaryota; Metazoa; Chordata; Mammalia; Afrosoricida; Tenrecidae
Source: RNAcentral
GUGCUUGCUUCAGCAGCACACAUACUAAAUUGGAACGAUACCAAGAAGAUUAGCAUGGUUCUUGCUCUAGAAGCAUUCCAUAUUUUU